Molecule: ribosomal RNA, 424 nt
Filed under: uncultured bacterium
Lineage: Bacteria
Description: bacterial SSU rRNA
Rfam family: Bacterial small subunit ribosomal RNA
Source: RNAcentral
AGGGAAUCUUCCGCAAUGGACGAAAGUCUGACGGAGCAACGCCGCGUGAGUGAUGAAGGUUUUCGGAUCGUAAAGCUCUGUUGCCAGGGAAGAACGUCUUCUGGAGUAACUGCCAGGAGAGUGACGGUACCUGAGAAGAAAGCCCCGGCUAACUACGUGCCAGCAGCCGCGGUAAUACGUAGGGGGCAAGCGUUGUCCGGAAUUAUUGGGCGUAAAGCGCGCGCAGGCGGCUGUUUAAGUCUGGUGGAGAAUCCUGGGGCUCAACCCCGGGUCGCACUGGAAACUGGACAGCUUGAGUGCAGAAGAGGAGAGUGGAAUUCCACGUGUAGCGGUGAAAUGCGUAGAGAUGUGGAGGAACACCAGUGGCGAAGGCGGCUUUCUGGUCUGUAACUGACGCUGAGGCGCGAAAGCGUGGGGAGCAAAC